GUUGGCGACUUCUGGCCCGACGGGACGCGACCACAUGGUGGCGGUCGCAGCAGGCUGGCAGAAGCGCAUCGAUGUAGCCGACCUCUGAGGACAGCGUGGCAGAGAGGGCAAGGGUUCAGAUGUGGAGCUCGGAGAUGGCUGCACAACAGCAGAGUGGCAUUUUCAAGGUAUCUAUCAACGUACAUCCAACGCCGGGGUUCCUCCUCAGCUGCAGCAAAAGAGACACAAUGAUAUCAGAAAGGAAUAGAGGGAGCCAUCUCUCAUGUCGCUGGCAAGAAAACUGUUUCAUCAUUAGAAUAGGGGUGGAUCUUGGAAAAUAUGUAAGGCAACUAUCCAUGGUACACACCAGAUGUGAACGUGGAGACGGUGGAGGACGUGGUGAAGCACCAGCAGCUGCUCGAGGAGGCAUGAGACCUGCAACACCUGCCCGCCUUGGCAGUGGGCGUCAUCCAGAUUGCAGAGAUAUUAUCCAAGCUAGAAAGAAAGGGUGGAGGAUAAAUUGUUAUGGUUGCAAAAUAAGAAGAUUUACAAUGUGUUGCAGCAACAUUAGGUGGAACUAUUCAACUUCAGCUUCAGGUAUAGUUCGUUAAAGAGGACAUCACCUCCUCUUCCGGCUCUAGACACCAAUAUUUGGCAUGAUGCAAGGAUGGUCUCUACGCUUGACGACCUACCGCUUUCUAGGGAAAAUCAAUUGAGUUUGAGAAAGGAAACAAAUAGCUCGUCUCGAGAAAGGUAUGAAUUUGGGUGCAGUUUAUAGGUGCUUUAAAAAAUUUGUAGGUUGCUAGCCAUUUGGCCGGUGUUUGCUUGAUAAAUUGUUAACUAAUUGAGUAGAUAUGUAAUAUCUUAGUUUGGUGAAAUUGAUGUAUAUUUAUUUUUUACAUGAUGCUCUCAUAGAUUGUUAAUUAACCUGUUUGUGGAUAAUGGCCUAUUGGUAUCUUGGUUUGGUGUCUGUGGGAUAUGGCAAGAGGUGAUGGCCUCAUGGAUCAUUGAUUGUACUUGAUGAUUGGGUGUUCCUUCCCCGUAUACAUUUGUAGUGAAGAAACAUUUUUUCUGUUUAUAAUAAUUAUACAUAUCGUGCAUUGAAUUUUACUCUGUGUUAUCGUUUAAUUUUUAUUGUGCAUAAGAUUUCAGUAGAGCAUUGCUCUUCCGUGCCUGCAACAUCCUAAGAGACAUGUGGUUAGAACAUGGCAGCGCAUAUCAUCUCCGGGAUUAGAGCAGUCAUGUCAGAAUCCUUGUGCCGCUAUUGUCUAUUUCUCAUUGUUGUCCUCGUACUAUUACAGCUCCGCAGUUCACAUACCCCUUGAAGAAUUAUUAAGGGAUUACGUUGUGUGCGAGUAGUGAAAGAUAAUGAUCCAUUACUUCUCUCAUUUUGUGCUUUCUUGCUUCUUAUGCAUUUCCUAUUUUUUGGUCCAGCUUGAUGUGCCUUUUGGUCUGUAUGGUAUUUGAAUCAGUUAAUUUAUCCUUUUUGGGAGUUGCUGUAGAAUUGGUUCGAUGUUUUCUUUUAGUUAGGAUAGAUGUUCAUUCCAACUAUCAGGUUUGCCAUAUUAAGAUGGCUGAGCCAUGGUGUCGAAUGCAACUUUCUUUUGUUUUCGAUCAUUUGUGUCAUUGCUAUGUUCUUAGGUCAUUCCUGAACAAGGAACUGUUCUUCUUGGAGGAUUUAUGUAUU
Long non-coding RNA from Lolium rigidum, 1666 nucleotides. RefSeq lists it as uncharacterized. The record is from RefSeq and is a predicted model, not a curated record. The transcript has 7 exons. NCBI's taxonomy places the organism in Eukaryota, Viridiplantae, Streptophyta, Magnoliopsida, Poales, Poaceae.